Solanum verrucosum is the source of this 918-nucleotide long non-coding RNA. RefSeq lists it as uncharacterized. NCBI's taxonomy places the organism in Eukaryota, Viridiplantae, Streptophyta, Magnoliopsida, Solanales, Solanaceae. The transcript has 3 exons. The record is from RefSeq and is a predicted model, not a curated record.
UAAGAUCUUUAUCUCUCUCCUUUGAUUGCUCACUAUUUCCCCUCUUCUCUAUGACUCUUUUUCUCUCUUCAACAAACACCAAUUCAUAGGAUUUUUUAAGAUAAAAUUUUCUAGAUCUUGAAGAAAGAUACUUGUUGCAAGUUUCAAUUAUAAAGAGAGAAGAUGACACCGUCAUCUGAAGGGAGGUACAAUUUGUAUAGUCAAGGUAGUAGUGGAUGGACAUCAAUGAGGAAUGAUGAAUUUCAAGAAGAAGAAAUUUGGGGAAAUUUCACCGAUGAAAAACGCGAAUUUGGUUCAAAUUUCAGCAGAAACAAAGAGUCGUCACCAAUUUUCAGUCCUAGGAGGCUUCCCACCGCAGCCAAAAUGAUCCAGAGAUCGAGUAAGAGUUCAAUUCAGGAACCUAAAAUAACUCAAUAUUCAGCUCCAGUAAACGUACCCGAUUGGUCAAAAAUUUAUGGGACAAAUUUCAAAAAAAACUUGUCACGCGAUGAUGAUAAUGAUGAUGAUUGUGAUGGCAGAAGACAUAAUUUGGUGAGAAAUAGUUCAAAAUUUGAUGAAGAGAACGAUGAUGAUGACGAUGAUGAAGGCGAAAUGAUGCCUCCACAUGAAUGGAUUGCUAAAAAACUUGAAAGGAGUAAAAUAUCUUCUUUUUCAGUGUGUGAAGGUGUUGGAAGAACACUAAAAGGGAGAGAUUUGAGUAGGGUGAGAAAUGCAAUAUUAAGUAAAACAGGGUUCCUUGAAUAACAUUAGAUCGAAUGAAUCGAUAGUGAAGAUUCAUAUAGUCGAUUCUGAUUUAUUUAUGAGGCAUAAUUAUUGUUAUUGUUGUAUUAUAAUCGUGUAGAUGACGUGGUGAUAGUUGAUGAUCGUAAGACAUCAACAAUAGGAUUUGAUUAGUAAUUGAAUUAAUAUGUUUAAUUA